GAGAACCACCAAGCGUAUAGCAUUCCCUCACGCGAGAAUUAUGCUUCACCAACCUGCUAGUGCUUAUUAUCGGGCAAGGACACCAGAAUUUUUACUAGAAGUAGAAGAGUUACACAAAGUUCGCGAAAUGAUCACAAGGGUUUAUGCAGUAAGAACAGGCAAGCCUUUUUUGGUUGUAUCCGAAGACAUGGAAAGGGAUGAUCGUAAGAGCGUCGA
Molecule: long non-coding RNA, 216 nt
Organism: Triticum aestivum (bread wheat)
Lineage: Eukaryota; Viridiplantae; Streptophyta; Magnoliopsida; Poales; Poaceae
Exons: 3
Source: RefSeq, a predicted model, not a curated record